RNAcentral lists this ribosomal RNA (393 nucleotides) under uncultured bacterium. RNAcentral's name for it is "partial 16S ribosomal RNA". It matches the Rfam family "Bacterial small subunit ribosomal RNA", at positions 523 to 918 of the family's 1533-position model. The record is from RNAcentral.
AUACGGAAGGUCCGGGCGUUAUCCGGAUUUAUUGGGUUUAAAGGGAGCGCAGGCGGAGAUGCAAGCGUGACGUCAAAUUUCGGGGCUCAACCCCGUCUCGCGUCGCGAACUGCGUCCCUUGGUUGCGGGAAGGGGAGGCGGAACUCGUGGUGUAGCGGUGAAAUGCAUAGAUAUCACGAAGAACUCCGAUCGCGAAGGCAGCCUUCCGGCCCGUCAACGACGCUCAUGCUCGAAGGUGCGGGUAUCAAACAGGAUUAGAUACCCUGGUAGUCCGCACAGUAAACGAUGGACACCCGCGGUUUGGCCUGUAUGGCUGAGCCGCCAAGCGAAAGCGUUAAGUGUCCCACCUGGGGAGUGCACCGGCAACGGUGAAACUCAAAGGAAUUGACGGGG